CUGCAAAGAGGUAACUUGCUAUAUAUUGACAAAAUGUACACAUUUUUUUCUUUGCCUCAUUUUUUGAUAUAACUAAAACUGUGAAAAAUGUAGUCUUGCUCCAUAACAUUUCGUUUCCCAUGUCAGGUAGUUGUGAUACUACGUGACAAUCUCAAUUGGGUAUGCUACAUUUACAAUAUUAAGGGAACACAUACCACGGUGCAUGUGUACGACCCUGUGGUCAAUGGUGAUUUCCCCGCCAUAUCCGUGGCCAACCACCAUCGUAGAGCUUAUGAUCUUUUCCAGGCACUGGGACACUGCAUGUCUAUUGUGCUAGGUGCAACUAUCCCUAGUGCACUGGGAUUUAACGUCAUCAAACACACUAGGGGUCCAGGAGCGAGGUUAGAUCUAACAAACAUUCAGUCUUAAUUAUCAUUUGUAAGUAAGAUCUUCAGGUUGCUGAAAUACUUCACUAUUUUUCUUAAAAAAACAGCCCAAACGAUGCGAUAUAUGUUGCAUAUGCCGCAAGGAACAUGACGAACAACCAAGCCAAACCUGUUCUGGAUGAGGUAUCAGAUUGUUGUGCUGCUGCGAUUUUUGGUGUCCUAUGAAAUGUUUAUUCUUAAUCAAAUGCAUAAGCAGUGUUGUUGGAAAACUCAACUAUUUUGUAAUCAAAAUGUUUCAGGCGGACUUGCUUGAACAUAGGAAGCUGCUUGGAUACCUGCUCAUGACCAUGGAUUCCAACAUUCCGAAGAUCAACGGUGUCUAAGCAACAUUAUCAUGAAGACUAUCUAUCUUUUUCUCACUAGAAAUUCAUGUUUGCGACUGAGAGUUGCUGUAUGUCUAUGUACCCAUGUGUACCUAAAAGCCCUCACACACUGUGUGUGUUGUGGUCUAUCGGUGUUAGCGUCCGUAAUUCAGUAUGAGACUAUUUGUUGUGAGUCGUAAAAUGCACUAUUUUUGUAUCUGCUGGUCUAUGAGACGGCUAAUGACUAUGUUAAGUGUUCGACAUCACUCACUGCUUGUGUU
This 1008-nucleotide long non-coding RNA is filed under the name Triticum aestivum (bread wheat). RNAcentral's name for it is "long non-coding RNA (TAES_LNC006049)". The record is from RNAcentral. Lineage: Eukaryota; Viridiplantae; Streptophyta; Magnoliopsida; Poales; Poaceae.